This 1825-nucleotide long non-coding RNA is filed under the name Sparus aurata (gilthead seabream). RNAcentral's name for it is "lncRNA (ENSSAUG00010017300.1)". Lineage: Eukaryota; Metazoa; Chordata; Actinopteri; Spariformes; Sparidae. The record is from RNAcentral.
CAGCUGUGUAGAAUAUCCUGUGUUAACACAGAGAGACAUCGCAGCAGUACUCUCCCAGCAUGCCUCAGAUGAGGGUUGUCCAAAGUUCUCACACAAGGAGUUUGAAGCAUUUUGAUCAGUACACUUGGUCAGAAAAGUUAGUCUUUUGAUAACCAAAUUCAAUGGAUACAGACUUAAGAAAUGGUAUACACAAUUCAGAAUUCAUGUAUACACAAUUUCUUUAAAUAAUGCAAGAAACAAAACAAAACAUUUUUACAUAGCAUUUUUCCAAAUUUUCUUUGUUUGAGGUAUAACUGGAGCUCUUUUUUUGUCAUCUUACAGCGACCUCCUCUAAUGUAUUGGCUAAAUAGCACUGACUGGAGAAUCAGUGCUACCAAUUGUUACCAAAAAACACAGGCUUUGUUGAGCAGGCAGGGGGAGCCCCUGAGGAAAACCUACCUGUGCAUGUUAAGAGGCAGAGCCAAGCAUCGACUGUUUCAGAUGGACACAGGGAAACCACCAGCAUUCUAUUUUAAAAGGCAAAAGAUGGAAGAAAAAACUUGAGAUUGAUACAACACAGUGUGACCUCCCACCGUCCUCUCCUCUUUCUCCGAUCCAGAAAACCUCAUCUGCUUUCUACCUCCCAGAGAACUUAAACAGGACACAAACAGCAAUUAAUUAUCCGUUAUCAGUUCCUUUUCUUUUCGUGCAACAUUUCUCCAUUUACCUCAGGGAUUUUCUCCCACUGCCUACCUCCUCCACCGAAUCAGCCAACCCAGUGACAGGAACACACCUGUGACCUCUCACUGCCGUUACCGUGACAACCUAUAUUGCCUCUCAAGCUCUCUUCACCGCAACCGUGACGAGCAGCAAUGACCUUGGACCUCUUGCCACCUGCCAGCUCAGACAUGCUCACUACCUGAACUGUACGGAUCCACACUUGCAGCCGGCCUAGUUGUUACUGGAAGGAAAAUUAUCAUAUUGCCAGAAAGGCAGCUACACACUCACAAUAGCCUCACACUUCAAUAUAACAAACCUGGCAGGCAACUAUAUACCUCCACAAUAGCCUCACACUUCAAUACAAUAUACCUGGCAGGCAACCAUAUACCUCAACACUACUAACUCUAGACAGACAGUCAACAGAAGGGAACUUUUCAGUGACAGCAUUCACUAUCCUGGUGCUUCAGUCCUUCAAGCGGGUAAGACGUCCUCACUAGCCUGGUGCUUCAGUAUACUCAGUAGACAACUCACUUCAGCAUCUUCCAUUUGCCUUAGAGGCGGGAGAAUAGCGACAGUAGCCAGGCAGGCCUCUGAAGAAGCAGGGCGAGAGACUCAGGAGUAUUGACUGGCUGGCAACUUUACUUCAUUGACUUCUCAGAAGAUUACAUCAUACGCAAACUUUCGUGAUGUAAAAGGUAGCAUAAAUCAGCAAUUGCCCACGAGGCCUUCAGAACUCACAGAAGAGACUCAGACGUUCCUCCUGCCUUGGGCUCCUCCAGAGAAGUCGAACCAACCGCGGAGCAGGGGAAGUUUUUGGGGACCUCAUCAGCUUUUCAUAGUCUGGGGGCGAACCACAAAGAAUAGAGAAGAUCCUGGCAGAUUUCACUUCACAAGAAUACCCAUAUUGUGUGACAGUGAGGAGAAAAGGAGGGAAACAAGCAGUAAGAGUGUAGAGAAGAAUGCAGCGGUGAGUUCCUUUUUCUUAUUUUCUACGCUUGUUUAUCAGCAUGCUCUCUUUUAAUUUUUCUUCUCCUCAGUUACAUUGUAUAUCAAAGAGUACAAGAAAGCUUUUCAUAUUUUCAUUUCUUAUCUUUUCAUUUAGAUGGAUCACUAACUGACAUUUAAA